GAAAGAUGUGCAGCACACAACGGACACACGUGUGCAUCUUCACUGCUGCAGACCCGCCCUCACUGUCAUUCAUCUGCAGAGAAAGAGAGAGAGCAAUGAGUAAACACAAAAACUACAACGACAUCACUACAAGCUUACAGCAUUACUCUCAUACAAACUCUCAAGACUUUAUACACAAUUAAGCGCUUCUUCACGCCGAAAGUCACUUACAGUGCACAUGAUUUAUGGACCAUUGGUUCCAGUUCAUCCAUUAUCUCCAGCUCUACUGGAUCAGUGAAGUGUUGUGGACUGUAAGACUGUUGAACAGAAGCAGAGACGUGUGGACAGACACUGACUGUACUAAUGAUGAUCAUCUGCUGCUGCACAGACUCAAGUUUCAAGUAUAACCCCUGCUGGUCAUGACUCCGGAAGCUCCAGCGGGAGAUUGAACUGGUAUCCCCCCCUCACACUCACUGCAGAGAUCUGGUUGGGAUCGAACCAGCAACCUCUGAAGUCGUGGGGCAGUGCUUUUACCACAGAGCCACAGAUCUCCUGUCUGAACACCUGCUGGAACUGAUGUUUGGAUGCUGACCUGUGUGUGAGCUGAUUCAAUAAAACAAGAUACAAGUCAGAUCUG
This 616-nucleotide long non-coding RNA is filed under the name Danio rerio (zebrafish). RNAcentral's name for it is "lncRNA si:dkey-224k5.13 (ENSDARG00000105162.2)". The record is from RNAcentral. Lineage: Eukaryota; Metazoa; Chordata; Actinopteri; Cypriniformes; Danionidae.